This 330-nucleotide ribosomal RNA is filed under the name uncultured eukaryote. RNAcentral's name for it is "partial 18S ribosomal RNA". It matches the Rfam family "Eukaryotic small subunit ribosomal RNA", at positions 1470 to 1796 of the family's 1831-position model. The record is from RNAcentral.
CCCUUAGAUGUUCGGGGCCGCACGCGCGCUACACUGAAGGAAUCAGCACGUCUUUCUCCUUGUCCGAAAGGACUGGGUAACCCGCUGAACCUCCUUCGUGCUAGGGAUUGGGGCUUGUAAUUCUUCCCCAUGAACGAGGAAUUCCCAGUAAGCGCGAGUCAUAAGCUCGCGUUGCUUACGUCCCUGCCCUUUGUACACACCGCCCGUCGCUACUACCGAUUGGAUGGUUUAGUGAGAUCCUCGGAUUGGUCCCGGCGCGGCCUCUGGUCGUGCCGGAGUGCCGAAAAGAAUGUCGAACUUGAUCAUCUAGAGGAAGUAAAAGUCGUAACA